Molecule: ribosomal RNA, 253 nt
Filed under: uncultured bacterium
Lineage: Bacteria
Description: partial 16S ribosomal RNA
Rfam family: Bacterial small subunit ribosomal RNA
Source: RNAcentral
UACAGCGGUCUCAAGCGUUGUUCGGAUUCAUUGGGCGUAAAGGGUGCGUCGGCGGCGCGGUAAGUCGGAUGUGAAAUCUCGGAGCUUAACUUCGAAACUGCAUUCGAUACUGCCGUGCUUGAGGACUGGAGAGGAGACUGGAAUUUACGGUGUAGCGGUGAAAUGCGUAGAUAUCGUAAGGAAGACCAGUGGCGAAGGCGGGUCUCUGGACAGUUCCUGACGCUGAGGCACGAAGGUCAGGGGAGCAAACGGG